This 301-nucleotide ribosomal RNA is filed under the name uncultured bacterium. RNAcentral's name for it is "partial 16S ribosomal RNA". It matches the Rfam family "Bacterial small subunit ribosomal RNA", at positions 509 to 807 of the family's 1533-position model. The record is from RNAcentral.
CAGUCGCCGCGGUAAUACGAAGGGGGCUAGCGUUGUUCGGAUUUACUGGGCAUAAAGGGCGCGUAGGCGGACUGAUAAGUCAGGGGUGAAAUCCCAAGGCUCAACCUUGGAACUGCCUUUGAAACUGUUUGUCUUGAGUUCGAGAGAGGCAAGUGGAACUGCGAGUGUAGAGGUGAAAUUCGUAGAUAUUCGCAAGAACACCAGUGGCGAAGGCGGCUUACUGGCUCGAAACUGACGCUGAGGCGCGAAAGCGUGGGGAGCAAACAGGAUUAGAUACCCGCGUAGUCCCUGUCUCUUAUAC